GCGACCCCAGGAUGGGCGAGGCCACCCGCUGAGUUUAACUAUCAA
RNAcentral lists this ribosomal RNA (45 nucleotides) under Trichocentrum tigrinum. RNAcentral's name for it is "partial 26S ribosomal RNA". The record is from RNAcentral. Lineage: Eukaryota; Viridiplantae; Streptophyta; Magnoliopsida; Asparagales; Orchidaceae.